AUUGAACGCUGGCGGCAUGCUUUACACAUGCAAGUCGAACGGUAACAGGUUAAGCUGACGAGUGGCGAACGGGUGAGUAAUGCAUCGGAACGUGCCCGGUCGUGGGGGAUAACGCAGCGAAAGCUGCGCUAAUACCGCAUAGAUCUAAGGAUGAAAGCGGGGGACCGGAAGGCCUCGCGCGAUCGGAGCGGCCGAUGUCAGGGUAGGUAGGUGGUUGGGUAAAGGCUCACCAAGACAACGAUCUGUAGCUGGUCUGAGAGGACGACCAACCACACUGGGACUGGGACACGGCCCAGGCUCCUACGGGAGGCAGCAGUGGGGAAUUUUGGACAAUGGGCGAAAGCCUGAUCCAGCAAUGCCGCGUGCAGGAAGAAGGCCUUCGGGUUGUAAACUGCUUUUGUACGGAGCGAAAAGGUCUCCUCUAAUACAGGGGGCUCAUGACGGUACCGUAAGAAUAAGCACCGGCUAACUACGUGCCAGCCGCCGCGGUAA
This 492-nucleotide ribosomal RNA is filed under the name uncultured bacterium. Its description in RNAcentral is "partial 16S ribosomal RNA". It matches the Rfam family "Bacterial small subunit ribosomal RNA", at positions 29 to 523 of the family's 1533-position model. The record is from RNAcentral.